Molecule: ribosomal RNA, 444 nt
Filed under: uncultured bacterium
Lineage: Bacteria
Description: bacterial SSU rRNA
Rfam family: Bacterial small subunit ribosomal RNA
Source: RNAcentral
AACGAACGCUGGCGGCAGGCCUAACACAUGCAAGUCGAACGCUGUAGCAAUACAGAGUGGCAGACGGGUGAGUAACACGUGGGAACGUACCCUUCGGUUCGGAAUAACUUAGGGAAACCUGAGCUAAUACCGCAUAUGCCCUUCGGGGUGAAAGUCUUCGGACGCCAGAGGAUCGGCCUGCGGCCCAUUAUUUAAUCCUUGUUGGUGGGGUAACGGCCUACCAAGGGUACGAUGGGUAGCUGGUCUGAGAGGAUGAUCAGCCACACUGGGACUGAGACACGGCCCAGACUCCUACGGGAGGCAGCAGUGGGGAAUAUUGGACAAUGGGGGAAACCCUGAUCCAGCUACGCCGCGUGGGUGAUGAAGGCCUUCGGGUUGUAAAGCCCUGUCGAGGGGGACGAAGUUCUGACGGUACCCCUCAAGAAAGCACCGGCUAACUCCGUG